Molecule: ribosomal RNA, 253 nt
Filed under: uncultured bacterium
Lineage: Bacteria
Description: partial 16S ribosomal RNA
Rfam family: Bacterial small subunit ribosomal RNA
Source: RNAcentral
GACGUAGGGUGCGAGCGUUGUCCGGAUUUAUUGGGCGUAAAGAGCUCGUAGGCGGCUCGUCGCGUCAGCUGUGAAAACCCGCAGCUUAACUGUGGGCUUGCAGCUGAUACGGGCGGGCUAGAGUUCGGUAGGGGAGACUGGAAUUCCUGGUGUAGCGGUGAAAUGCGCAGAUAUCAGGAAGAACACCAGUGGCGAAGGCGGGUCUCUGGACAGUUCCUGACACUGAGGCACGAAGGCCAGGGGAGCAAACGGG